Molecule: ribosomal RNA, 450 nt
Filed under: uncultured archaeon
Lineage: Archaea
Description: bacterial SSU rRNA
Rfam family: Archaeal small subunit ribosomal RNA
Source: RNAcentral
CUUGGGCGCGGCUUUAUACAUGCGAGUCGAACGUCUCCCUGUUGCGGGAGGCGUGGCGUACGGCUCAGUAACACGUAGUCAACCUGCCCUGAAGACAUGGACAACCCCGGGAAACUGGGCCUAAUCCGUGAUAGGCCACCACAUCUGGAAGGAGUGAUGGCCCAAAGGGGCGUGCAGGCUUCUUCUGCACGUCUGCUCCAGGAUGGGACUGCGGCCGAUCAGGCUGUUGGCGGUGUAAUGGACCACCAAACCUGUAACCGGUACGGGCUUUGAGAGAAGGAGCCCGGAGAUGGACACUGAGAAAAGGGUCCAGGUCCUACGGGGCGCAGCAGGCGCGGAACCUUCGCAAUGCGCGAAAGCGUGACGAGGUUAGUCCGAGUGGCUUCCGCUGAGGAGGUCUUUUGCUAGCUGUAAAAAGGCUGGAGAAUAAGGGGAGGGCAAGCCUGGUGU